RNAcentral lists this long non-coding RNA (670 nucleotides) under Nicotiana benthamiana. RNAcentral's name for it is "long non-coding RNA (NBEN_LNC016121)". The record is from RNAcentral. Lineage: Eukaryota; Viridiplantae; Streptophyta; Magnoliopsida; Solanales; Solanaceae.
UUAAGAGUGAAAAAAAUGAAUCCAGAAAAUACAAAAAAAGGGACUAAAAAUUCUCUACUAUUCCAUGGAGAUGCAAUAGUUUUUCGGAUUCUUUCAAUUCCUGAAAUCACUAGUGUUUCAUUGAUGAGAUUUGAGUUGGUUUGAGAUUAGUUUUGGAAGGUUUUUAGUCAAGCUGUGUUGAAUAUUCUAUUGGAUUAUGAACUGAUUUUUGGUUUCAAUUACUGAAUCUGGGCUGGCUGUUUGCUUAUUACUGAUCUUCUCCUUCUUCUAUCCAUUUUCUUUUCCAAGUAUUCCCAAAAAUACCAUGGACAUCACUUAAAUAUAUUCGAUGUUUUGUAUUUGAGUUUAGGAAUAAGAAAUGAAGCUAUCCAUAUUGAAUCUUACUUGUUUUCUUUAACUACAUGUAUGUUUGUAAUAUUUAACAUUAGAAACGUCAUCACUAGUAUGUUGAGUAUGAGCUGAUGGUCACAUCAUAACAAUGAAGCUUCGUGUAGUUUGCUUCUGUGUCUAGUAUCUGUUUUCCUGUCAAUAUUAGCUAUGGUUGAAGGAAUUGUUUUGGUUGUUGAUGGUAAUAACUUUGGGUUGAUUCGAAUAGUUGGGUAGUGUUUGAAUACUAUAAGGUGAAUCUUACAUUAAUUGUUUAAUGGUCUAUUGAAAGGCUUGAAGCCCC